Molecule: ribosomal RNA, 2923 nt
Filed under: Bacillus cereus
Lineage: Bacteria; Bacillati; Bacillota; Bacilli; Caryophanales; Bacillaceae
Description: bacterial LSU rRNA
Rfam family: Bacterial large subunit ribosomal RNA
Source: RNAcentral
UUUGGUUAAGUUAGAAAGGGCGCACGGUGGAUGCCUUGACACUAGGAGUCGAUGAAGGACGGGACUAACGCCGAUAUGCUUCGGGGAGCUGUAAGUAAGCUUUGAUCCGAAGAUUUCCGAAUGGGGAAACCCACCAUACGUAAUGGUAUGGUAUCCUUAUCUGAAUACAUAGGGUAAGGAAGACAGACCCAGGGAACUGAAACAUCUAAGUACCUGGAGGAAGAGAAAGCAAAUGCGAUUUCCUGAGUAGCGGCGAGCGAAACGGAACAUAGCCCAAACCAAGAGGCUUGCCUCUUGGGGUUGUAGGACAUUCUAUACGGAGUUACAAAGGAACGAGGUAGACGAAGCGACCUGGAAAGGUCCGUCGUAGAGGGUAACAACCCCGUAGUCGAAACUUCGUUCUCUCUUGAAUGUAUCCUGAGUACGGCGGAACACGUGAAAUUCCGUCGGAAUCUGGGAGGACCAUCUCCCAAGGCUAAAUACUCCCUAGUGAUCGAUAGUGAACCAGUACCGUGAGGGAAAGGUGAAAAGCACCCCGGAAGGGGAGUGAAAGAGAUCCUGAAACCGUGUGCCUACAAAUAGUCAGAGCCCGUUAACGGGUGAUGGCGUGCCUUUUGUAGAAUGAACCGGCGAGUUACGAUCCCGUGCGAGGUUAAGCUGAAGAGGCGGAGCCGCAGCGAAAGCGAGUCUGAAUAGGGCGUUUAGUACGUGGUCGUAGACCCGAAACCAGGUGAUCUACCCAUGUCCAGGGUGAAGUUCAGGUAACACUGAAUGGAGGCCCGAACCCACGCACGUUGAAAAGUGCGGGGAUGAGGUGUGGGUAGCGGAGAAAUUCCAAUCGAACCUGGAGAUAGCUGGUUCUCCCCGAAAUAGCUUUAGGGCUAGCCUUAAGUGUAAGAGUCUUGGAGGUAGAGCACUGAUUGGACUAGGGGUCCUCAUCGGAUUACCGAAUUCAGUCAAACUCCGAAUGCCAAUGACUUAUCCUUAGGAGUCAGACUGCGAGUGAUAAGAUCCGUAGUCAAAAGGGAAACAGCCCAGACCGCCAGCUAAGGUCCCAAAGUGUGUAUUAAGUGGAAAAGGAUGUGGAGUUGCUUAGACAACUAGGAUGUUGGCUUAGAAGCAGCCACCAUUUAAAGAGUGCGUAAUAGCUCACUAGUCGAGUGACUCUGCGCCGAAAAUGUACCGGGGCUAAAUACACCACCGAAGCUGCGGAUUGAUACCAAUGGUAUCAGUGGUAGGGGAGCGUUCUAAGGACAGUGAAGUCAGACCGGAAGGACUGGUGGAGUGCUUAGAAGUGAGAAUGCCGGUAUGAGUAGCGAAAGACGGGUGAGAAUCCCGUCCACCGAAUGCCUAAGGUUUCCUGAGGAAGGCUCGUCCGCUCAGGGUUAGUCAGGACCUAAGCCGAGGCCGACAGGCGUAGGCGAUGGACAACAGGUUGAUAUUCCUGUACCACCUCUUUAUCGUUUGAGCAAUGGAGGGACGCAGAAGGAUAGAAGAAGCGUGCGAUUGGUUGUGCACGUCCAAGCAGUUAGGCUGAUAAGUAGGCAAAUCCGCUUAUCGUGAAGGCUGAGCUGUGAUGGGGAAGCUCCUUAUGGAGCGAAGUCUUUGAUUCCCCGCUGCCAAGAAAAGCUUCUAGCGAGAUAAAAGGUGCCUGUACCGCAAACCGACACAGGUAGGCGAGGAGAGAAUCCUAAGGUGUGCGAGAGAACUCUGGUUAAGGAACUCGGCAAAAUGACCCCGUAACUUCGGGAGAAGGGGUGCUUUCUUAACGGAAAGCCGCAGUGAAUAGGCCCAAGCGACUGUUUAGCAAAAACACAGCUCUCUGCGAAGCCGUAAGGCGAAGUAUAGGGGGUGACACCUGCCCGGUGCUGGAAGGUUAAGGAGAGGGGUUAGCGUAAGCGAAGCUCUGAACUGAAGCCCCAGUAAACGGCGGCCGUAACUAUAACGGUCCUAAGGUAGCGAAAUUCCUUGUCGGGUAAGUUCCGACCCGCACGAAAGGUGUAACGAUUUGGGCACUGUCUCAACCAGAGACUCGGUGAAAUUAUAGUACCUGUGAAGAUGCAGGUUACCCGCGACAGGACGGAAAGACCCCGUGGAGCUUUACUGUAGCCUGAUAUUGAAUUUUGGUACAGUUUGUACAGGAUAGGCGGGAGCCAUUGAAACCGGAGCGCUAGCUUCGGUGGAGGCGCUGGUGGGAUACCGCCCUGACUGUAUUGAAAUUCUAACCUACGGGUCUUAUCGACCCGGGAGACAGUGUCAGGUGGGCAGUUUGACUGGGGCGGUCGCCUCCUAAAGUGUAACGGAGGCGCCCAAAGGUUCCCUCAGAAUGGUUGGAAAUCAUUCGUAGAGUGCAAAGGCAUAAGGGAGCUUGACUGCGAGACCUACAAGUCGAGCAGGGACGAAAGUCGGGCUUAGUGAUCCGGUGGUUCCGCAUGGAAGGGCCAUCGCUCAACGGAUAAAAGCUACCCGGAUAACAGGCUUAUCUCCCCCAAGAGUCCACAUCGACGGGGAGGUUGGCACCUCGAUGUCGGCUCAUCGCAUCCUGGGCUGUAGUCGGUCCCAAGGGUUGGGCUGUUCGCCAUUAAAGCGGUACGCGAGCUGGGUUCAGAACGUCGUGAGACAGUUCGGUCCCUAUCCGUCGUGGGCGUAGGAAAUUUGAGAGGAGCUGUCCUUAGUACGAGAGGACCGGGAUGGACGCACCGCUGGUGUACCAGUUGUUCUGCCAAGGGCAUAGCUGGGUAGCUAUGUGCGGAAGGGAUAAGUGCUGAAAGCAUCUAAGCAUGAAGCCCCCCUCAAGAUGAGAUUUCCCAUAGCGUAAGCUAGUAAGAUCCCUGAAAGAUGAUCAGGUUGAUAGGUUCGAGGUGGAAGCAUGGUGACAUGUGGAGCUGACGAAUACUAAUAGAUCGAGGACUUAACCAUAUAA